RNAcentral lists this ribosomal RNA (398 nucleotides) under uncultured bacterium. RNAcentral describes it as "partial 16S ribosomal RNA". It matches the Rfam family "Bacterial small subunit ribosomal RNA", at positions 523 to 918 of the family's 1533-position model. The record is from RNAcentral.
GUACGUAGGGUGCAAGCGUUGUCCGGAAUUAUUGGGCGUAAAGAGCUCGUAGGCGGUUUGUUGCGUCGGCUGUGAAAUCCCGAGGCUCAACCUCGGGUCUGCAGUCGAUACGAGCAAACUAGAGUGUUGCAGGGGAGACUGGAAUUCCUGGUGUAGCGGUGAAAUGCGCAGAUAUCAGGAGGAACACCGGUGGCGAAGGCGGGUCUCUGGGCAACAACUGGCGCUGAGGAGCGAAGGCGUGGGGAGCAAACAGGAUUAGAUACCCUGGUAGUCCACGCCGUAAACGUUGGGCGCUAGGUGUGGGGCUCAUUCCACGAGUUCCGUGCCGCAGCUAACGCAUUAAGCGCCCCGCCUGGGGAGUACGGCCGCAAGGCUAAAACUCAAAGGAAUUGACGGGG